UUCUGAAUCUUAUUUUAACCACAUUUCACGUUGUUAUCUCUAGUUAACAACUUUUUUUGGGGUUAAGUGAUUGUGUAUCAACUUUAACCAUAUUUGUCAUUGUUUAGUGUUAACAAACGCAGUCAGCUGUUUGGUGACAAUUAUUUUUGUGGUUAAGCUAACAGCAUCUAGUUUUUCUUUGUUAAGCUGUUGUUUACUAAUUUUGCUGUGAAGUUAAAUUGAGAAAAUUGUGAAGAUUGUGUUAAAAAAUGGCAUUUGCAUACAUUGCAUCAUAUUUAUAUGAUACCGAUAAUGAGCAGCCAUUAAACGUGCCAAGAAUUGACCGGCGGACCGGAUCAAUACAGCCUAUAUUGCUGAAAAUGUUCCUAAAUCUAUUACAAAACAACCAACCCAACAGCGCCCUUACACUGUCCGGGCGUUUCGCUUUAAACCAAUAAACAACAAUUGAAUUUGUGAGUGCCGGUGCUGUUGUGAAGGGUUAUUCAUGGAUACCAUAAAAAGAGAUACAAAACUACAUCAAUGCUGUUGGCAUAAUACUCGCUUCUCUGCCUGAGAAAUGUUGGAAGGCAAAUGAUCCCCAUAGUGAGCCGCUGAUACCUACGUGUCUUCAGUUGGUAAUUGCAUAGUUACUGCCGCGAGUGCGGUUCACAAUGCUCUUUGCCGCAUUCUUUUUGGCAUGGUCGUUUGUUGAACCAGCCCACAUAACAGACGCUCGUUUGGCAAGUUCUAUUUCCGUUGCUUGAUAAUGUGCGUGCGCUUUCCAGUACGGGAAGCAGUGAGAAGGUGGAUGGUGCUGCCUUGAGUAAAAAUUGUGAAGACUCGCUGGCCGCACUAAAAUCUCUGCAAGAAAUUAUGCAUGACAAUGCAGACAAAUUGGCGUCACUUGCUAACGAGGAAACAGCGGAAACAAAGAUGAGGAAUUUGCAGGAUUGCAUGGAAUAUUUGGCUAAAUACCGGCAUUGAAAGCACAAAGAUCACAACGAAAAACAACCAUGCCAAAGAGGAGUUUUAUGUGCCUAGUCAGGCAUUUUUAAUAGCGCUAACACAAAUUUUCUAGCACAUACAACUGCGGGGGUGAUACAUCAUUGAAUUCGAAUGUCUUCACUGGGCGCUUGGCGGUUACUGCUUUACUACAUCGAUUCCAAUACGUUUUGAAGCGUUUCAAUGACGACGAACGGCUGAUGGGCGCCGUGCAAGGGUCACAGUAGUUCAUUCCGGGGUAUUGGUCGUAACUAUCAGUGAAGUGCACAGCUGCCAAAUGCGCAUUAAGUCAAUUAAAGAACCAGUUAGAUAACAAAGAAGGAUCAUACCACAACAUUACCGGCACCCUGACACUUAUUGAAUAAGUACCAAAUAAGUAAAUACAUAUCGUCACCUGAAAUGCAAAAAGACGUAACAAUAUCGUAAAUGAGAUUGAAAAAGUCGUGACUAAUAUUUUCAUUAUUU
Rhagoletis pomonella (apple maggot) is the source of this 1446-nucleotide long non-coding RNA. RefSeq lists it as uncharacterized. The transcript has 3 exons. Lineage: Eukaryota; Metazoa; Arthropoda; Insecta; Diptera; Tephritidae. The record is from RefSeq and is a predicted model, not a curated record.